CACCCCCCCCCCUUCUCGGCAGCGGCUUUCCCCUUGCCCACUAAUGCGCUGCUCACACAUGGAGUCGCGGCGUCACCCGGCGGAGCAUGCGCGGGGCAGGGCCCGUCCUGGGCCGCGGGGACGGGCCGGGGCCGGAGCAGCAGCAGGAGCAGUAGGAGCAGUGGUAGCAGUAAAAGCAGUGGUAGCAGUAGAAGCAGUGGCAGCAGGAGCAGCAGCAGCAGCCGCGCGGGGGCCCGGCGCCGCUUCCGGGCAAUGGUGGAGCAAGACCAAAGUUGUGAAAUUGGGUGCUCUGAGUCAGCCCAGAAACGCAGAUGAGAUUGAAGCCUGGCGUUGUGCGAGGAAUGGAGGACACGACCGACAAGCUGGACCAGGGAAAUAUUUUUCAUACAUCUUCUCAAAGUGCUUUUUCUCUUAGCAAGAGAGCCACAGAGAUAUUUCACGCUACAGUGGUAGCCCACAGACACUGCUCAGUUCCUCAAGGGGCCAUGUGCAUGCCAGGGGAUGCGAGCAGGCCGGGAGUUUUGAAACGUGGGCAUUUUUAAUUCACUUUGUAUGAUUUUAACCCAGUUUAUAUGGGCCUCGGCAUUACAAAAGAUUCGAAUCCUCCUCCCACAGCCCUGGGCUCCUACAGGGAAACGUGUGAGGGUUGUCUCCUGUUCCCUUGGGAGUGCUCACAGAGAUGUGGCUGUGACCCGCUGAGUAAAGUCACCACUGUUUUUAAUUCCCUACCUGCCUUUGGGAAACUGCGACAACGCACGAGCCAGUUUCUCCAGGCUCAGCGGGCUCCUUAAAUUCAAGCUGAAGAUAUUAGGGCCACAAGCAGGCAAUCUCUCUCUCUCUGGUCCAAACAGCUGAACUCUAUUGAGACGAGAGACAUUCAGUUAAAGCUUAAUCUAGUAAUGACUUUGUAUUCUUUUUGCUGCAAUAAGGAGGUUAACAUUCUAUGGGGCUGCCUCUCGUGCACAAUCCUUGAAGCACUCAGCCUGUUAUGAGGGAAACCGGAUAAUUAACUUGGGAUGAAAGCACGUUCCCAUUCUUGAAGUAGCUUUCAGAAGUUACUAUGUUCGUGUGCUUUUCUUUUCAAACAAAAGUUGGGGUUUUUUGUAGUCCCCAACUCAUUGCUUAUAGACAAGUUUCUUCCUGCAAGACCCUCUGGAAUUGCUCACGGCAACAGGAAAUUAGGAUGUUUAAAACGAAGCCAACUGGGAGCCACGAAAUAGCCUGUGGCAUUUUGCUUGCUGCAGAGAGCAGCCCCUUGGACAGCGGGACAUAGGGACCACUGGCACACAGACGUAAUUUCAGUUCUGCUCGCGUGGUAACAUCAUCUGUUUUACUCCCUGGGAGAUUUAGCCACUGUUUGAACAGCGUGCGCGCUCAGGUUUGUAUAACACGUGUCAUUAAACUCUUGAAAAAGUCUUCAGAAAAGAAGAAAUCAUCUGUGCCACUCAGGUUGAGAGGAGAAGCUCCCUCUAAAAGCUCCAUCUACAAGAAGCCUGCCUGCUACAAAACCGUGUUUUCUUCCUUAAAACUUUGUGCUUGGGACAGCCACGAGAAACGCUGCAGCACUCUGCAUGAUUUUCUUUGCACUUACUAGUGCUUCGUAUUGCACUAGUUCAAACAAAUAGCACCAAUUUCUAAGCUGUUUAGUCACUACAUUUCAGGGUCCUUCUCAAAUCAGAGCAGAGAGAAAAGCUUUUUCAUGCCUUAAACUUUUUUUCUUGUUUGGGAUAUGCUGCUAAAACGCUCUGAAGUCAGAUUUUGUGAAGUUAGACACUUCUCAGCACUUAAACUCACAAUUCUUUUACCUACAGCAACUGCCAGCGCACGCAGCUCCUAUGCACGCUCCUUCUUCUCUCUCUAGCUUUUCACCACGCUUAUCACAAAGACAGAAAAAAAGUGGCGAAAGGGAUAGAAGAUUAAUAACGGAUUAGAUUUUUUUUCAAAAAGCCACCUAUAGAGGUUCUGUGAAACAUGGCAGAUCGCUGGGGGUGAGGAGAAGGUGGUAGACCACAGACAGGAUAUAACUUUAUUUUGAAUCGAGCUCGUCUCGCGUACAAACUAAAUCCCCCCCCCCCCCCAAGAAGUCGUACAGAGAUGAAACGCUGCCAGAAAAAGAAAGUAAUUGAGUUCCCGAGGCGAGCGCGACGCCGCGGCGAGGAGCACACGGAACCUCCGCGCAUCCCCAAAGCCGGGCAGAAGUCCUCCGCUUUGGCACCGGCCCCACCAACCACCUCCAUCUUAAGUCCUGUCGCGAAUCCAACCCAUCUGGCACCCUCCAGCAAGCAAAUGCUGUGGGUUUUUUUUGUUGUUGUUGUUUGAUUUUUUUUUUGUUGUUUUUUGUUUUUUGUUCCUCCCCGGCAGGUCCCCUCCGGGGGCCACCUCCUCGCCCCGCUCCCCCCUCAGGGGGCACCCAACCUUUUGGGGUUUCCC
Long non-coding RNA from Cairina moschata (Muscovy duck), 2430 nucleotides. The record is from Ensembl. NCBI's taxonomy places the organism in Eukaryota, Metazoa, Chordata, Aves, Anseriformes, Anatidae.